Long non-coding RNA from Vombatus ursinus (common wombat), 775 nucleotides. RefSeq lists it as uncharacterized. The record is from RefSeq and is a predicted model, not a curated record. The transcript has 3 exons. Lineage: Eukaryota; Metazoa; Chordata; Mammalia; Diprotodontia; Vombatidae.
AAAGAGAAAUCAGCAUGUAUCUGGCACACCAAUGAAUACUGUGUUCUUCAGAGCUCAUGCUGAACUGUGUACAUUGAAGGGUCUCCCUAAAGGAAACUUUGAGACCCUUCUGUAGGCUGACCCUUCUUAGAUGGAGCUCGGCCUUCAUUUUGGAAUGCUCCGCCAUCUGAGUGCUUUAAAAAUUAAGGUGGCUUUGAGGAUCCUCUCACUUCACAGUGUGGGGAGCCAUGGCAAGCCUAGGCUUGACUCCCUUCCUGGAUGGAACUCGUACCUCAGAACUGUUGCCUCUGUGUUGUUCCAGUCAUGAUCCCCAAAGCAUGAUUCCUGAUUUGGAGGCCAAGAAAGUACAGCCUGUCUUAGCAUGUGAUCUUAUGUAAGGCACUGUGUGUCGAGCUGGCAGGAAACAAACAUCUCUCCAGCCCCCUGUUUUCAGAGACGGGUCGGAAAAUAUUUCAGCUGCUUGGUAUCAGCCUGCUGUGGUCAGUUAUCAGUGUGGUCCAGAAGGACAGGACAGCGCACCAUUCAUGGUCUGUCAGAGCUGCUCCUAGAUGGGCGGAUGGCGUCAUGAGUGAGAAGCAAAUUUCAUGUCCUUGCUUUUUUCCCUAGGACCAAAUCACAGUUGCUUCCUCCAUUCAAAGAUCCAUUAUGUCAUCAGUGUGGAUACACCCUCCUCCCAACCAGAGAGCAGCCCUUUCAGUACUUAGCAGAUGGUAUCAUGAGUUGCUCCUACCCACCCCUACCCCCACCUGAAAAAAACAAAAAACAAUUAAAGAGA